Molecule: long non-coding RNA, 330 nt
Organism: Gossypium arboreum
Lineage: Eukaryota; Viridiplantae; Streptophyta; Magnoliopsida; Malvales; Malvaceae
Exons: 2
Source: RefSeq, a predicted model, not a curated record
UAAUUGAAUAGCCAUUGAAAACGUGCGACAACAUCCGAGGUCUCUUGGACUCGUAUUUUUGCGUGCUCGGAACCGUCAUUGAAGUCAUCACACCGGCUGAAAUAUUUUGGUAUUGUCUUCGUUGUUGAAGAACAUUUGGCAUGUAUAAGCUAUUAUAUUUUGUCGAAUUGUGGGUUGUAAACUUUAAGCCAUGUGAAAAUGGCCUAUGUGGUCGUCGAGUGGGAUGCUAGAACCUAUAGCCACGAGUCUUAGAAACUUUAAUUUUGAUAAGGUGGCCAUAAUUUGUGUCAUGUUUGAUGGAUGAUUAAGGCCAAGGAAAGAUUCAUGAAA